RNAcentral lists this ribosomal RNA (254 nucleotides) under Klebsiella pneumoniae. Its description in RNAcentral is "partial 16S ribosomal RNA". It matches the Rfam family "Bacterial small subunit ribosomal RNA", at positions 1000 to 1254 of the family's 1533-position model. Lineage: Bacteria; Pseudomonadati; Pseudomonadota; Gammaproteobacteria; Enterobacterales; Enterobacteriaceae. RNAcentral also lists the same sequence under 2 other names. The record is from RNAcentral.
CCAGAGAUGGAUUGGUGCCUUCGGGAACUGUGAGACAGGUGCUGCAUGGCUGUCGUCAGCUCGUGUUGUGAAAUGUUGGGUUAAGUCCCGCAACGAGCGCAACCCUUAUCCUUUGUUGCCAGCGGUUCGGCCGGGAACUCAAAGGAGACUGCCAGUGAUAAACUGGAGGAAGGUGGGGAUGACGUCAAGUCAUCAUGGCCCUUACGACCAGGGCUACACACGUGCUACAAUGGCAUAUACAAAGAGAAGCGACC